Molecule: non-coding RNA, 112 nt
Organism: Acanthosepion pharaonis
Lineage: Eukaryota; Metazoa; Mollusca; Cephalopoda; Sepiida; Sepiidae
Source: the annotation of a GenBank genome assembly
AGGGCCAAAUCACGUUGAAAAACCGGUUCCCGUACGAUCGCCGAAGUUAAAGUGUGUCGAGCCUGGUUAGUACCUAGAUAAUCGACUGCUUGGGAAUACCAGGUGGUGUAAG